RNAcentral lists this ribosomal RNA (678 nucleotides) under Streptomyces pratensis. RNAcentral describes it as "bacterial SSU rRNA". It matches the Rfam family "Bacterial small subunit ribosomal RNA", at positions 59 to 752 of the family's 1533-position model. Lineage: Bacteria; Bacillati; Actinomycetota; Actinomycetes; Kitasatosporales; Streptomycetaceae. The record is from RNAcentral.
CAGUCGAACGAUGAAGCCGCUUCGGUGGUGGAUUAGUGGCGAACGGGUGAGUAACACGUGGGCAAUCUGCCCUUCACUCUGGGACAAGCCCUGGAAACGGGGUCUAAUACCGGAUAACACUCUGUCCCGCAUGGGACGGGGUUAAAAGCUCCGGCGGUGAAGGAUGAGCCCGCGGCCUAUCAGCUUGUUGGUGGGGUAAUGGCCUACCAAGGCGACGACGGGUAGCCGGCCUGAGAGGGCGACCGGCCACACUGGGACUGAGACACGGCCCAGACUCCUACGGGAGGCAGCAGUGGGGAAUAUUGCACAAUGGGCGAAAGCCUGAUGCAGCGACGCCGCGUGAGGGAUGACGGCCUUCGGGUUGUAAACCUCUUUCAGCAGGGAAGAAGCGAAAGUGACGGUACCUGCAGAAGAAGCGCCGGCUAACUACGUGCCAGCAGCCGCGGUAAUACGUAGGGCGCAAGCGUUGUCCGGAAUUAUUGGGCGUAAAGAGCUCGUAGGCGGCUUGUCACGUCGGAUGUGAAAGCCCGGGGCUUAACCCCGGGUCUGCAUUCGAUACGGGCUAGCUAGAGUGUGGUAGGGGAGAUCGGAAUUCCUGGUGUAGCGGUGAAAUGCGCAGAUAUCAGGAGGAACACCGGUGGCGAAGGCGGAUCUCUGGGCCAUUACUGACGCUGAGGA